RNAcentral lists this small RNA (523 nucleotides) under Histoplasma capsulatum. RNAcentral's name for it is "hypothetical RNA". RNAcentral also lists the same sequence under 1 other name. Lineage: Eukaryota; Fungi; Ascomycota; Eurotiomycetes; Onygenales; Ajellomycetaceae. The record is from RNAcentral.
AAGAUAUAGGGGAUUAGAUUAUAUAUAUAUUGGAAGAAUUAGGCCGGGAGAAUCGGGGAAGUGGGAGGAAGACUAGAUGAGCCUGAUAUAUACAACUCCAUCAAAAAUGACGGAGCAUGUGCAUGUAUUUACAACUCGCAAAAUGAAAUAUAUGCGCAGCGAUGGUAUAAGGAUCCAAGGUUCAACACCAGCAUCAUCAUGACCAUAAAUAUAUCCCAGACCGAAUUUCAAAACUAUAAAAACUAAAACAUAAAAUCACAGCCUCGACUUUGCCGCCGGCGCCGGCAGUCUAUUUGUUGGUAACCCGAGCGGAUCAUAAACCGCCAACCCCAGCGAAUCCACCGGAUUUGGCACAGUCUUCACCGCUAGGCCCCUGGCAUCAACCAAGUCUGGACACAACUGGCCAAUAUUCGAACAUCCGAUCAGCCGCAUAUUCAUAACCGUCUCAUCUUUCAACAGCUGCAUAGCCCGCUCGACGCCAGGCACCCCAUACGCGCUCAUCGCAUACAGGAACGGCCGCCCG